GAUCCUGGCUCAGGAUGAACGCUGGCGGCGUGCUUAACACAUGCAAGUCGAACGAAGCACUUAGGAUUGACUCUUCGGAUGACGUCUUUUGUGACUUAGUGGCGGACGGGUGAGUAACGCGUGGGUAACCUGCCUCACACAGGGGGAUAACAGUUAGAAAUGACUGCUAAUACCGCAUAACCCGAUAGGAUCGCAUGAUCCAGACGGAAAAGAUUUAUCGGUGUGAGAUGGACCCGCGU
Molecule: ribosomal RNA, 239 nt
Filed under: uncultured bacterium
Lineage: Bacteria
Description: partial 16S ribosomal RNA
Rfam family: Bacterial small subunit ribosomal RNA
Source: RNAcentral